GAGCCGCGGCGGGAGGCGGCCCCGGGGGCGCCCGGCUCUGCCCUGCGCUGCCGGGGGGCCGGUGCCGCCGCCUCGGCGCUUCUGGCGAGGACGAGCUUUUCUGAGCGGUUCGGAGGCGGCCGCGGCGGGAAGCGGAGCCGGGCCGGGAGCAGGAGGGCGCGGCGGGAGGAAGGCGGGACGGCGAGGGGCGGGAGCGGGACGGCGAGCGCUGCUAAGGCCGGCUGCGGGCCCGGGUGCGCUGGCCGGGCAGGUGCCUGCUCCCUGCCGUUUAAGCAUUGCAUCCGUAAUAUUUUUUGUAAGCGCUGCUCUUCUAAGUUAGGCUGAAGCCAUUGCGUGGUUACUUUGAGCUGCCCCAGAGGCAGGCGCCCUGUGGGAGGGGGUCUUUGGCAAGACGGCGGCUCCUUUGCGCUAAACUAAGCCAAGGCGGGGAGCGGCCCAGCUGAAAACUCGCUCAACAAAACCAGUUUCCAUCCGGAGCGGCUCCCUGAGGCACCUGGCCACCCCUUUCAGCACUCUCCUGUCUCUAGGGCAGCUCACAGAAAACGUGGGACCAGCUUUGGGUGGUUUAUGCCUCUGGGAGCUGAGACGCAGGUGGGCGUGCUGCCGCCCGUCCCAGCUCUGGGACCCCCAUCCCUCCCCUGCGCCAGCCCUGGGUGCGGCACAAGUGCAAGCCGGCUUGGGCAGCUGAUCCGUCUGACCGCCAAAUGCUUUUUCUGUUUCCUCCUGUGCUGGCUCACCAGCAGAUGCGACAAGGCAGUGCCAGCGCAAAAGAGGAACGUGCGAGAGCAGAGGGAGAACAUGACUGCAACAGCCAUCGCAGACACCAGCUUACGGGAAGGACACCCAGCUCCGCUCAUGAGCAUCUUCUGGAUCCGUUCGUCAGUGGAAGGUCACACGGGCUGGGACAGGGACACCUCUGCUGCUCCGAGUGACAUGGGCAUCACUCAUCUUGAGAACAGAAAUAAUGUCACUACUCAGAGAAGAGUGGUUUGGACAUACAUCAAGUAUGCUCAAUGCAAGGAUAAACGUGAGUGGCACACAAGGCUUGCAGUACUGCUAACCAAAAUCACUUCAUCACAAGAGUCUUAGCAGCAAAGUUGUUCUAAAGUAUCUGCAGGUGCCAAGGACAAAGCCGCAGCUUGACAAACACUAUGCCAAGACCGCCGCCAAAAGAAGCAGCUCUGCCCUCUCAUAUCACUGGAAAGAGAGAAGAGAACGAAAAGAAGCUUGAUCGUCUUAUUAAACUACAUCCUCUGAGAAAUAAGAAGGCUAUAACAGGAAUAAGCAGAGAGCAGAAAUCACGUGACAGACACUAAAUGAAUUUAACAAUUUGGUUGUGCUUCAGCAGAAAUUUCCCAUGGGUUAAGCAAUGAAACAUGACAGAGCAUGUGUUCGGAGGAGACAGUGCAGCCAUCACGUGGCCUUGGUGGCACUGGCAUGCUCCCAGUUGAGCGGGUUGUAAGAACAAGAAACAUUUUUUCACAAUUUGCACUGAGAUAAAAGACAUCCAAGAUUAGCUGGCAAUUUGUACCACGAUGGAGCUAUAUGGCUCAGUACUUAACCUCAAAUCAGCUUGCAGCUCAUCACUUUCUCUCAAGCAGAGACAACUAUUUGCUCAUUUUAAGGGUACGCAAUGGACUAAAUGUACACUCCAGGUGUCAGAACUUUUUUAGAUCUGCAUCCUGCCUCCCUUUGAAAUCUUUGAACCCUUUGGGUUCUUUGAAGUCCAUUUAUUUUGAGGAAAGCUUGUCUUGCCAACACUUCUAACUUUCCUGUCAAGCUAGGCAUGAAUUCUAAAGCUGCGAGUCUCCCGAGUGCAUCACGUGUUUUGCACAGGAAGAUGUUCCCAGAAGGUUUGUUACAAGAUGAUGUUAUCUGAACUUUUUUACCUGAAUGGAUUAAGAAAUGACUGAGAUUGUUGACCAAAUUUGAGAUGAAUUGGACCAAUUCUUAAAUCCAACGUCCUGGCGAAUUAGACAUCUUCCCAGAUACCGCAUUCUCUCAGGAGCUAGAUGUAUCUUCAAGAGUGGAGGAAUAUAUCUGGGAAGUCUGGCAAGUGAGGAGCACCCAUGUGCUCUCCUAGGAUGUGGCAGGUUCCCAACAUAUCUUAAAAGUUCGGCUGGCCAAGUGUGGCUCCCUGUGGCUGUAUCAAUACUGUGCGCAGAGGUAUUCCCAAUUUAAAGCCCCAUGGUAUAGCCAGAGUGGUAGAAAGUUGUCAUUACAUAAAUGGGGCCUUAAAAAGUCUGGAAAGAUUGGGUAUUUAUUGCUAGUGCUCUGCCCCGAGAAUCACUUUGCUGCAUUUUCCCCAGUGAAAAAGAGCCCUUUUCCAGAUGUGUUCAAACCUAGGAUUCCAAACCUUUUAUGAGUCCCCAGCUUCCCACGGUCCCUUCAGUUGGAUUUCACUCUGCACCUUGAGCCUGCAGCAAAACCAACCUUUUCU
Dromaius novaehollandiae (emu) is the source of this 2440-nucleotide long non-coding RNA. RefSeq lists it as uncharacterized. NCBI's taxonomy places the organism in Eukaryota, Metazoa, Chordata, Aves, Casuariiformes, Dromaiidae. The transcript is spliced from 3 exons. The record is from RefSeq and is a predicted model, not a curated record.